UAUCUCUGACCUGGGUAGAGCAGCAUCUGCUUGGUGGUGCCCAUCUCAUAUCAGCCAGCGAUACAGCAAUCCCUUGUUUAUCCCUUGGCCUUUGGUCUGUACCCAUGCCUGGUUCAUGUGUGGAAAAUAUGG
Molecule: small nucleolar RNA, 132 nt
Organism: Cercocebus atys (sooty mangabey)
Lineage: Eukaryota; Metazoa; Chordata; Mammalia; Primates; Cercopithecidae
Source: Ensembl